GACGAACGCUGGCGGCGUGCUUAACACAUGCAAGUCGAACGUAAAGGCCCCUUUCGGGGGGUACUCGAGUGGCGAAAGGGUGAGUAAAACGUGAGUAACCUGCCCUUGACAUUGGGAUAAAUCCUGGAAAAAGGGGCUAAUACCGGAUAGGAGAUCCUGCUGCACGGGGGGGGGUGGAGAGAUUCGGCGGUUUGGGGUGGGCUCGCGGCCUAUCAGCUUGUUUGUGGGGGAGUGGCUUACCCAGGCGUUGACGGGUAGCCGGCCCGGGAGGGUGACCCGCCACCAUGGGGCUUGGGUUCGGCCCAGGCUCCUUCGGGGGGCAGCAGGGGGGAAUUUUUCCCAAUUGGUGGGAGCCUGAUUCAGCAACGCCGGGGGCCGGAUUACGGCCUUCGGGUUGUAAACCGCUUUCGCUCAGGACGGAGCUUUGUGUGACGGUAGUGGGUAAAGAAGCACCGGCUAACUACGUG
RNAcentral lists this ribosomal RNA (467 nucleotides) under uncultured bacterium. RNAcentral's name for it is "partial 16S ribosomal RNA". It matches the Rfam family "Bacterial small subunit ribosomal RNA", at positions 28 to 507 of the family's 1533-position model. The record is from RNAcentral.